This 2860-nucleotide ribosomal RNA is filed under the name Burkholderia multivorans CGD2M. RNAcentral describes it as "bacterial LSU rRNA". It matches the Rfam family "Bacterial large subunit ribosomal RNA". The record is from RNAcentral. Lineage: Bacteria; Pseudomonadati; Pseudomonadota; Betaproteobacteria; Burkholderiales; Burkholderiaceae.
GGUCAAGCGAACAAGUGCAUGUGGUGGAUGCCUUGGCGAUCACAGGCGAUGAAGGACGCGGUAGCCUGCGAAAAGCCCCGGGGAGCUGGCAAACAAGCUUUGAUCCGGGGAUGUCCGAAUGGGGAAACCCACUCCGUAUGGAGUAUCCAUGACUGAAUACAUAGGUCAUGUGAAGCGAACGCGGUGAACUGAAACAUCUAAGUAACCGCAGGAAAAGAAAUCAACCGAGAUUCCCAAAGUAGUGGCGAGCGAAAUGGGAUGAGCCUUGUACUCUUUAUUCGUAUUGUUAGCCGAACGCUCUGGAAAGUGCGGCCAUAGCAGGUGAUAGCCCUGUAGGCGAAAACAGUAUGAAAGAACUAGGUGUACGACAAGUAGGGCGGGACACGUGAAAUCCUGUCUGAAGAUGGGGGGACCAUCCUCCAAGCUAAUACUCGUGAUCGACCGAUAGUGAACCAGUACCGUGAGGGAAAGCGAAAGACCCGGGAGGGAGUGAAAUAGAUCCUGAAACGCAUGCAUACAACAGUCGGAGCCUCGUAAGGGGUGACGGCGUACCUUUUGUAUAAUGGGUCAGCGACUUACGUUCAGUAGCAAGCUUAACCGUAUAGGGCAGGCGUAGCGAAAGCGAGUCCGAAUAGGGCGUUCAGUUGCUGGGCGUAGACCCGAAACCAGGUGAUCUAUCCAUGGCCAGGAUGAAGGUGCGGUAACACGUACUGGAGGUCCGAACCCACUAACGUUGAAAAGUUAGGGGAUGAGCUGUGGAUAGGGGUGAAAGGCUAAACAAACCUGGAAAUAGCUGGUUCUCUCCGAAAACUAUUUAGGUAGUGCCUCGUGUCUCACCUUCGGGGGUAGAGCACUGUCAUGGUUGGGGGGUCUAUUGCAGAUUACCCCGCCAUAGCAAACUCCGAAUACCGAAGAGUGCAAUCACGGGAGACAGACAUCGGGUGCUAACGUCCGGUGUCAAGAGGGAAACAACCCAGACCGCCAGCUAAGGUCCCCAAAUAUGGCUAAGUGGGAAACGAAGUGGGAAGGCUAAAACAGUCAGGAGGUUGGCUUAGAAGCAGCCACCCUUUAAAGAAAGCGUAAUAGCUCACUGAUCGAGUCGUCCUGCGCGGAAGAUGUAACGGGGCUAAGCCAUAUACCGAAGCUGCGGAUGCGAGCUUGCUCGCAUGGUAGGAGAGCGUUCCGUAAGCCUGCGAAGGUGCCUUGUAAAGGGUGCUGGAGGUAUCGGAAGUGCGAAUGCUGACAUGAGUAGCGAUAAAGGGGUGAAGGCCCCCUCGCGUAAGCCCAGGUUCUACGCAACGUCAUCGGCGUAGGGUGAGUCGGCCCUAAGGCGAGCAGAAAUGCGUAGCUGAUGGAAGCAGGUCAAUAUUCUGCACGUCGUUAGAUGCGAUGGGGGGACGGAUCGCGGAAGGUUGUCCGGGUGUUGGACGUCCCGGUCGCUGCAUUGGAGAAGGCGCUUAGGCAAAUCCGGGCGCAGGAUUCAAGGGUGUGGCGCGAGCGACUUCGGUCGCGAAGCAAUUGGAAGUGGUUCCAAGAAAAGCCUCUAAGCUUCAGUCUAACGAUGACCGUACCGCAAACCGACACAGGUGGGCGAGAUGAGUAUUCUAAGGCGCUUGAGAGAACUCGGGAGAAGGAACUCGGCAAAUUGGUACCGUAACUUCGGGAUAAGGUACGCCCUUGUAGCUUGACCAGCCUGCGCUGGAAGGGUGAAGGGGUUGCAAUAAACUGGUGGCUGCGACUGUUUAAUAAAAACACAGCACUCUGCAAACACGAAAGUGGACGUAUAGGGUGUGACGCCUGCCCGGUGCCGGAAGAUUAAAUGAUGGGGUGCAAGCUCUUGAUUGAAGUCCCGGUAAACGGCGGCCGUAACUAUAACGGUCCUAAGGUAGCGAAAUUCCUUGUCGGGUAAGUUCCGACCUGCACGAAUGGCGUAACGAUGGCCACACUGUCUCCUCCCGAGACUCAGCGAAGUUGAAGUGUUUGUGAUGAUGCAAUCUACCCGCGGCUAGACGGAAAGACCCCAUGAACCUUUACUGUAGCUUUGCAUUGGACUUUGAACCGAUCUGUGUAGGAUAGGUGGGAGGCUAUGAAACCGGAACGCUAGUUUCGGUGGAGCCGUCCUUGAAAUACCACCCUGGUUUGUUUGAGGUUCUAACCUUGGUCCGUGAUCCGGAUCGGGGACAGUGCAUGGUAGGCAGUUUGACUGGGGCGGUCUCCUCCCAAAGGGUAACGGAGGAGUACGAAGGUACGCUAGGUACGGUCGGAAAUCGUGCUGAUAGUGCAAUGGCAUAAGCGUGCUUAACUGCGAGACCGACAAGUCGAGCAGGUGCGAAAGCAGGUCAUAGUGAUCCGGUGGUUCUGUAUGGAAGGGCCAUCGCUCAACGGAUAAAAGGUACUCUGGGGAUAACAGGCUGAUACCGCCCAAGAGUUCAUAUCGACGGCGGUGUUUGGCACCUCGAUGUCGGCUCAUCUCAUCCUGGGGCUGUAGCCGGUCCCAAGGGUAUGGCUGUUCGCCAUUUAAAGAGGUACGUGAGCUGGGUUUAAAACGUCGUGAGACAGUUUGGUCCCUAUCUGCCGUGGGCGUUGGAUAUUUGAAGGGGGCUGCUCCUAGUACGAGAGGACCGGAGUGGACGAACCUCUGGUGUACCGGUUGUGACGCCAGUCGCAUCGCCGGGUAGCUAUGUUCGGAAGAGAUAACCGCUGAAAGCAUCUAAGCGGGAAACUCGCCUUAAGAUGAGAUAUCCCUGGAGGCUUGACCUCCUUGAAGGGUCGUUCGAGACCAGGACGUUGAUAGGUCGGGUGUGUAAGCGCAGUAAUGCGUUCAGCUAACCGAUACUAAUUGCCCGUAAGGCUUGAUCCU